RNAcentral lists this ribosomal RNA (564 nucleotides) under uncultured Rhodospirillaceae bacterium. RNAcentral describes it as "bacterial SSU rRNA". It matches the Rfam family "Bacterial small subunit ribosomal RNA", at positions 334 to 916 of the family's 1533-position model. The record is from RNAcentral. Lineage: Bacteria; Pseudomonadati; Pseudomonadota; Alphaproteobacteria; Rhodospirillales; Rhodospirillaceae.
UACUCYUACGGGAGGCAGCAGUGGGGAAUCUUGCACAAUGKGCGAAAGCUGAUGCAGMGACGCCGCGUGCGGGAUGACGGCCCUCRRGUUGUAAACCGCUUUCAGCAGGGACGAAAUUGACGGUACCUGCAGAAGAAGCACCGGCUAACUCCGUGCCAGCAGCCGCGGUAAUACGGAGGGUGCAAGCGUUGUUCGGAAUUACUGGGCGUAAAGGGCGCGUAGGUGGUUGUGUAASUCAGAUGUGAAAUCUCUCGGCUCAACCGAGAAACUGCAUCUGAUACUGCAUGACUAGAGUGCAGCAGAGGGAAACGGAAUUCCUGGUGUAGAGGUGAAAUUCGUAGAUAUCGGGAGGAACACCGGUGGCGAAGGCGGUUUCCUGGGCUGACACUGACGCUGAGGCGCGAAAGCGUGGGUAGCAAACAGGAUUAGAUACCCUGGUAGUCCACGCUGUAAACGAUGUGUGCUAGACGUUGGGGAGCCUAGCUCUUCGGUGUCGCAGCUAACGCGGUAAGCACACCGCCUGGGGAGUACGGCCGCAAGGUUAAAACUCAAAUGAAUUGACGG